RNAcentral lists this transfer RNA (67 nucleotides) under Bambusicaliscelis flavus. RNAcentral describes it as "tRNA-Leu". Lineage: Eukaryota; Metazoa; Arthropoda; Insecta; Hemiptera; Caliscelidae. The record is from RNAcentral.
GUUGAGUUGGCAGAUUUAAGUGCUUUAAAUUUAGAAUUUAAAAAUGUAUAUUUUUUUACAUUCAAUA